This 373-nucleotide unclassified non-coding RNA is filed under the name uncultured Ascomycota. RNAcentral's name for it is "sequence contains ITS2". The stretch from base 1 to 154 matches the Rfam family "5.8S ribosomal RNA". The record is from RNAcentral. Lineage: Eukaryota; Fungi; Ascomycota.
AACUUUCGGCAAUGGAUCACUUGGCUUUGGCAUCGAUGAAGAACGCAGCGAAAUGCGAUAAGUAAUGUGAAUUGCAGAUUUCAGUGAAUCAUCGAAUCUUUGAACGCACAUUGCGCCCUCUGGUAGUCCGGGGGGCAUGCCCGUUCGAGUGUCAUUACGCAACUCAAGCUUUGCUUGGUUUUGGAGAUUGUGGUUUAACGACUGCCUCUCUUGAGUAAUUCGGCCAGGUUCUCUGAACCGCAGGUGUUGUGCAUAUUGUUAAAGCACCUUCUGGUUAAAGAAUCUUGACUGCCGUUAAGCAUUCAUUUCAAAAAUUGACCUCGAAUCGGGUAGGGAUACCCGCUGAACUUAAGCAUAUCAAUAAGCGGAGGCU